GAAUAUGAAGCGAUAUAUUGCAAUUAGUUUCGACCUAAUCUUAGGUAAAUUACCCUU
This 57-nucleotide transfer RNA is filed under the name Drosophila mediodiffusa. RNAcentral's name for it is "tRNA-Arg". The record is from RNAcentral. Lineage: Eukaryota; Metazoa; Arthropoda; Insecta; Diptera; Drosophilidae.